Molecule: ribosomal RNA, 1251 nt
Filed under: Paulownia witches'-broom phytoplasma
Lineage: Bacteria; Bacillati; Mycoplasmatota; Mollicutes; Acholeplasmatales; Acholeplasmataceae
Description: bacterial SSU rRNA
Rfam family: Bacterial small subunit ribosomal RNA
Source: RNAcentral
UGGAAACGACUGCUAAGACUGGAUAGGAGACAAGAAGGCAUCUUCUUGUUUUUAAAAGACCUAGCAAUAGGUAUGCUUAGGUAGGAGCUUGCGUCACAUUAGUUAGUUGGUGGGGUAAAGGCCUACCAAGACUAUGAUGUGUAGCCGGGCUGAGAGGUUGAACGGCCACAUUGGGACUGAGACACGGCCCAAACUCCUACGGGAGGCAGCAGUAGGGAAUUUUCGGCAAUGGAGGAAACUCUGACCGAGCAACGCCGCGUGAACGAUGAAGUAUUUCGGUACGUAAAGUUCUUUUAUUAGGGAAGAAUAAAUGAUGGAAAAAUCAUUCUGACGGUACCUAAUGAAUAAGCCCCGGCUAACUAUGUGCCAGCAGCCGCGGUAAUACAUAGGGGGCAAGCGUUAUCCGGAAUUAUUGGGCGUAAAGGGUGCGUAGGCGGUUAAAUAAGUUUAUGGUCUAAGUGCAAUGCUCAACAUUGUGAUGCUAUAAAAACUGUUUAGCUAGAGUAAGAUAGAGGCAAGUGGAAUUCCAUGUGUAGUGGUAAAAUGCGUAAAUAUAUGGAGGAACACCAGUAGCGAAGGCGGCUUGCUGGGUCUUUACUGACGCUGAGGCACGAAAGCGUGGGGAGCAAACAGGAUUAGAUACCCUGGUAGUCCACGCCGUAAACGAUGAGUACUAAACGUUGGUUAAAACCAGUGUUGAAGUUAACACAUUAAGUACUCCGCCUGAGUAGUACGUACGCAAGUAUGAAACUUAAAGGAAUUGACGGGACUCCGCACAAGCGGUGGAUCAUGUUGUUUAAUUCGAAGGUACCCGAAAAACCUCACCAGGUCUUGACAUGCUUCUGCAAAGCUGUAGAAACACAGUGGAGGUUAUCAGUUGCACAGGUGGUGCAUGGUUGUCGUCAGCUCGUGUCGUGAGAUGUUGGGUUAAGUCCCGCAACGAGCGCAACCCUUAUUGUUAGUUACCAGCACGUAAUGGUGGGGACUUUAGCAAGACUGCCAGUGAUAAAUUGGAGGAAGGUGGGGACGACGUCAAAUCAUCAUGCCCCUUAUGACCUGGGCUACAAACGUGAUACAAUGGCUGUUACAAAGGGUAGCUGAAGCGCAAGUUUUUGGCGAAUCUCAAAAAAACAGUCUCAGUUCGGAUUGAAGUCUGCAACUCGACUUCAUGAAGUUGGAAUCGCUAGUAAUCGCGAAUCAGCAUGUCGCGGUGAAUACGUUCUCGGGGUUUGUACACACCGCCCGUCAAAC